This 308-nucleotide long non-coding RNA is filed under the name Homo sapiens (human). RNAcentral's name for it is "HSALNT0162851". Lineage: Eukaryota; Metazoa; Chordata; Mammalia; Primates; Hominidae. The record is from RNAcentral.
AAAUAUCUUUGGUGUUUCCACUACUCAAAGGCAAAAAGUUUGAACUCGGCCCUUUCUUUGAAGGGUUUAGCAGAAGUGCAUUGGUGAUGGGAAACAGAUCAGGCCCAGUGGGGUUCCAAAUGAAGAAGAUUCAUAGGCUAUUGAAUCACCUCUAGUCUUCAGAAUAUCAUGCCUUCAGUUUCUUAGAAGUAAAACAACGAGAGAUACACACCAUUAUAUGCCAGUUUUUAAAGAGCAUGAAGAAAACUAAAACCCAGCUCUUUUUUAGAGGCCUCUUGUAGCCAGCAAAUAGUUCAGAAUUUAGCCUA